RNAcentral lists this ribosomal RNA (589 nucleotides) under Candida maltosa. Its description in RNAcentral is "partial large subunit ribosomal RNA". It matches the Rfam family "Eukaryotic large subunit ribosomal RNA", at positions 67 to 664 of the family's 3401-position model. Lineage: Eukaryota; Fungi; Ascomycota; Pichiomycetes; Serinales; Debaryomycetaceae. The record is from RNAcentral.
ACGRGAAAUUGCCUUAGUAGCGGCGAGUGAAGCGGCAAAAGCUCAAAUUUGAAAUCUGGUACUUUCAGUGCCCGAGUUGUAAUUUGAAGAAGGUAUCUUUGGGUCUGGCGCUUGUCUAUGUUUCUUGGAACAGAACGUCACASAGGGUGAGAAUCCCGUGCGAUGAGAUGAUCCAGGCCUAUGUAAAGWUCCUUCGACGAGUCGAGUUGUUUGGGAAUGCAGCUCUWAGUGGGUGGUAAAUUCCAUCUWAAGCUAAAUAUUGGCGAGAGACCGAUAGCGAACAAGUACAGUGAUGGAAAGAUGAAAAGAACUUUGAAAAGAGAGUGAAAAAGUACGUGAAAUUGUUGAAAGGGAASGGCUUGAGAUCWKACUUGGUAUUUUGUAUGUUACUUCUUCGGGGGUGGCCUCUACAGUUUAUCGGGCCAGCMUCAGUUUGGACGGUAGGACAAUUGCCGUGGAAUGUGGCACGGCCUCRGUUGUGUGUYACAGCCACUGUCGAUACUGCCAGUCUAGACUGAGGACUGCSGUUUAUACCUAGGAUGUUGGCAUAAUGAUCUUAAUUUCCCCGUCUUGAARMAMKGACACCAUA